UACGUAGGGCGCAAGCGUUGUCCGGAAUUAUUGGGCGUAAAGAGCUCGUAGGCGGCUUGUCACGUCGGAUGUGAAAGCCCGGGGCUUAACCCCGGGUCUGCAUUCGAUACGGGCUAGCUAGAGUGUGGUAGGGGAGAUCGGAAUUCCUGGUGUAGCGGUGAAAUGCGCAGAUAUCAGGAGGAACACCGGUGGCGAAGGCGGAUCUCUGGGCCGAUACUGACGCUGAGGAGCGAAAGCGUGGGGAGCGAACAGG
This 253-nucleotide ribosomal RNA is filed under the name uncultured bacterium. RNAcentral's name for it is "partial 16S ribosomal RNA". It matches the Rfam family "Bacterial small subunit ribosomal RNA", at positions 524 to 776 of the family's 1533-position model. The record is from RNAcentral.